RNAcentral lists this ribosomal RNA (499 nucleotides) under Pseudoalteromonas sp. RNAcentral describes it as "bacterial SSU rRNA". It matches the Rfam family "Bacterial small subunit ribosomal RNA", at positions 56 to 552 of the family's 1533-position model. The record is from RNAcentral. Lineage: Bacteria; Pseudomonadati; Pseudomonadota; Gammaproteobacteria; Alteromonadales; Pseudoalteromonadaceae.
UGCAAGUCGAGCGGUAACAUUUCUAGCUUGCUAGAAGAUGACGAGCGGCGGACGGGUGAGUAAUGCUUGGGAACAUGCCUUUAGGUGGGGGACAACAGUUGGAAACGACUGCUAAUACCGCAUAAUGUCUACGGACCAAAGGGGGCUUCGGCUCUCGCCUUUAGAUUGGCCCAAGUGGGAUUAGCUAGUUGGUGAGGUAACGGCUCACCAAGGCGACGAUCCCUAGCUGGUUUGAGAGGAUGAUCAGCCACACUGGAACUGAGACACGGUCCAGACUCCUACGGGAGGCAGCAGUGGGGAAUAUUGCACAAUGGGCGCAAGCCUGAUGCAGCCAUGCCGCGUGUGUGAAGAAGGCCUUCGGGUUGUAAAGCACUUUCAGUAAGGAGGAAAGGUUGGUGGUUAAUACCCAUCAACUGUGACGUUACUUACCGAAGAAGCACCGGCUAACUCCGUGCCAGCAGCCGCGGUAAUACGGAGGGUGCGAGCGUUAAUCGAGAAU